Molecule: long non-coding RNA, 1073 nt
Filed under: Sus scrofa (pig)
Lineage: Eukaryota; Metazoa; Chordata; Mammalia; Artiodactyla; Suidae
Description: lncRNA (ENSSSCG00065001228.1)
Source: RNAcentral
GUCCUUCCUGGUCUUUUGUUAACUGAUCACCUGUCUGGGCACCAAGAAUUGACAGCUUCAACUGGAAAACUCAUUUAGGUGGAGUUCUGAGCAAGUCUGCUAAUGAUGAACUUCCUUCUUCAGUUCUUGACAGAAACCGUCUCCAGUGUUUCCAUUGCCUCAACGCAGCUCGGAGGACUUCUCUGCCCACUGUGGUCUGGCUCCUUCCCCGCCCCCGGCACCCACUCCUCCUGGAAGGGCUGCUCCUGCCAAGGUCGUCAACAACCUCCUUGCUCCAGACCAUGCCCAGCGCGCCUCCUUGGUCUGCACUGUCCUUGGCAUCCUGUCUCCGGGGACCAGCUCCCAGGCUCGGCUCCUGCCUCUGCACCGCCUCCCUCUCCAUCUCUGUUGCAGGCUCUCCUUCCCACCCCCGGCCUUGAACACAGCCCUCCUCUGCUUUUUCCCCAUCACAACGGGGCUAUUUCUCCUGUGUGUCGCAGGCACCGAAUUUCAUUAUGUCACAAGCGGAGUGAUGCCUCUCAUACCCCCACCCAUACCUGCCCAGACCUGAGAGCUGCUGUCCUAUGCUCCCCGCCCAGGAAAGCCACCAUCGUCCACAAGGGGGCUUGUCCCCUCCCCCCCCCACCAUCCCCCACAAAUCGUUGCCCAGAGCUGCCCUUGACCUUUCAGAUCCCCUCACCUCUGCCUCCUUCCAUCCACCCCGGAUGCCACGAUUCCUGCCUGGAUUCCUGGAAGUGCCCCCUCACUAGUCUCCCUUCUCUCCAACCACUUCUCCAAACCACAGACCGAAUGCUCUUUCUAAAAUGAAAAUCUUGGAGUUCCCAUGGUGGCUCAGCAGGUGAAGAACCCAACAUAGUGUCCAUGAGGAUGCGGGUUCGAUUCCUGGCCUCGCUCAGUGGGUUAAGGAGUAGGCAUUGCUGCAAGCUGCAGUGUAGGUGGCAGAUGCUGCUGAGAUGCCAUUGCUGUGGCUGUGGCUAGGCUGGCAGCUGCAGCUCCCACUGACCCCUAGCCUAGGAACUUCCAUAUGCCGCAGGUUCAGCCCUUGAAAGAAAAAAUAAAAUAAUAAAAUAAAA